ACAGAGAGCUACAAUAAUGAAGAGGAAUCAACGAAGAAACAAGAAGGAAUUGAAGAACCUAGCUACCUAUAUAUUUCAUCGUUGACUUGACUUCACUUGCUUCUCUAUUUAACCCUUAGCAAGCUAUAAGGAAUCACACGCCACUAACACACACACAUACAACAACACUACAAGCAUCAUCAACCACUAACUUCCUCUCCAACUUUCAAUGUUCCUUUAAUCAAACAUUAUCUCUUCAUAAGCUUUAGAGCAGAAAUUCAUUCGCACUUCUUUUCUUUGCCAUUUCAUAAAAAGAUUGCGCGAUGACGGAAUCAUUAGUUUCUUUGUUGACGAGGAAAACUUCUUCAAGCAAUUGAGGAAUCUUCCAUUUCAUUGGUCAUCUUCGAGAUGGUGUAUGGAGAAGCUUGUGAUGAUUAUUGAAUGCAAGGAACAAAUUUUUCUGAUUGGUAAUGAUUUUGAUAAAUUACAUUGCCUAACUGGUGAAAAACAUUUCUUUUUUAUUUGAUCUUCAAUUUUUAAAUGACUUGAAUUUAGACAAUAAUAAAUUUAACAUUAUCCAAUAUCAUAUUAGUGUGGAAAUUCUUUUAAUAACAUUUACCAUUUUGAUUUGUCUAAUAAUGACAAUCUUAGGAGGAUUUUUAAUAUACUCUAUUGAAAAUUCUCCUAAUAUUGUCAUUAUAUGACAAAUCAAGAUGGUAAAUGUUAUUAGAAGAAUUUUUACAUUGAUCAUGAUAUUGAAUGACGUUGAAGUUAUUGUUGCCCAAAUUUAAGUAACUUAAAAAUUAAAGAACAAACAAAAAGGACAUGUUGAGGAUUUAUCAAGAUCAUUAUUAAUUAGAAAAAUUUUUUAGGACCCCUUUUAAAUUUUAAUUAUCUUAAAUUAGUUAAAUGUAUCAUUAUUUUAUAUGUUAAAAAUAUAAAAACAGACUUAUUAUGUAUGUGUGUAAAAGUAUAAUUUAAUAAUUUAUCCUCUAAUUUUUUAGGAUACCGAAACAUACAGUUAUCGCGAUUUUUUGUUGGUAUAUAUAUGUAUAAUAAUUAUCAUCUUUUAAUAUGAUAUAUGCAUAAUAAUAAAAAUUUAUAUAUUAAUUAUUUUUAUAUUUUGUUAAAAAAUAUUAUCAGGAAAGAGUAACUCUGGAUAUAAAUAUAAAUGAAAUUGAGGUGAGCUUAUGGGAUAGGGUUUAUUUUUUAGAAAUGGGAUAUUUUGAUGGCUCAUAAUUCGAUAUGUUAAAAGGAAAGUGUUUUCAUAUGGCUAAGUUAAUCAAACCAAAAACUUAUGGGAUAGGGUUUAUUUUGUUAAAAAAACACAAUCUUUUUACUUAGUUUUUGUUAUAUAUCAAAACUAAUGAUUCCGAAAAAUUAUUUUCGUUUUUUGAAGGUUUAGAAAUAUUAUAAAUUUGUUUGAAUAUAUUAAAUUAUUUUUACUAUAUAAUUCAGUUUUGAUCAUAACAAGAAUAGAAUUAAUGUACUUAAUUUAGUUUUCAUAUAUAACAAGAACUAAAUAAAAAAAGGAUUGUUUUUAGUUUAGUUUUUAAUGUAAUUAAUUUAUUAACAUAUUUUAUUGUGAUGUUUAUAAAUUGUAUCGCAAAUUUUCUCUGGUUUAACUUAUUUUUUAUUUUAUAAAUUUAAUGGAAGUAAAAGUUAAAUUAAAGUGGAUAGAUUGUUAUUUUUUAUUUCCAGAAUGCUAGCAAAUUAUGUUAUAUCUCAUGUAGAAAAGCAUAUAUGUUAAAAUAGAAAUAGACUAAAUUAAUUCGUUGUUGUUCAUGCUAAGAAGAAAAUGAGAUUGAAAUGAGGACAAACACAACACUGGAGAAUUCGAUUACAAUAAGCAUGGAUAAUUUAAUUUUGUCAGACAGUGAUUUUUCUUUUUUUUUCCACAAAUAUAGAAAUAUAGUCACUGACUAAUUGUUAGUGAAAGAAAAUAAGGUGACUUCAUGUUUUAAAAAUUGUAAAAAUUUUGUCAUAAGAGAAUAUUAUUUCUCAGCUUAACUUAUUAUUAAAUGAAAUAAACAUUAUUUCAUUUAUUUGAUUGUCUGUUUUAAUACAAAGUUUCAUAAUUUUAUUUUUAAUAGUAGAGAUCGAUAAUGAUAAAACUCACUUUAUUUACUUGUCACACGUUUAAAAUAGAGAGAUAAUGAGAUAUAAACUUAUAUAUCAAAAGUUUAUUUUAUAAAAUAAAAAAUGUCUAUUUAUCUUUUGAACUUCAUAUCAAAAGUUAUAUAUAAAAGUAUGAAAAAAAAUCCUUAAAAAUUAUAAAAUAUUACAUAACAAUGAUCAUAUUGUAAAGUCAUAUUAUACAGUAUAUAGAUGAAUUUAUAAAAAUAAAAAAGCAGACGAAAAAUGACUUGAACAUAACAUUAAUUUUGUAAUAUGUUCUCCUUAUAAAUAAUAUCUCAAGUUAAGUGACCAGAAAUUUUUAUAACAUCAACUUAUUGUAAAAAUAGUAUAAAUUUAAGGUAAUUUAAUUAACUUUGCGUGUAGAAAAGAUCAAGCAAUUAUCACAAGAAGGGUAUAAAUAACACAUGCAAUGUACUAACAGUUUUGAUGUGAAUUAUAUAAGGAGACGAAAAUGAGUGAAAAAUAACUUAAUAACGAGGAUAAUGCACAGAAUCAUAAGGCAACACAAAAGCAGCAUGUUUAUCUACAAUUUUGAUGUGACCCCACAUUUUAUUUUGGUCUGUUUUGCCCUCAAACCCACCACAAAGCUAAGCUGGAAAUGAAAGAAAGCCAAAACACACAAGAAGAGGGUCUCAUAUAUACACAGCAUAUGGGAUAACUGGGAAGAAGAUAGAAACUAAUUUUCUUACACUAAUUUUUCACACACCCACAAAAAAAAAAAUUUAAUAAUUCAACAUGUUCAAUAUAAUUAAUUAAGCCUACAGAAGAGGGAUAAGUAAUGUUUAAACUUUAAAAUAUGGUGUUUUUUUUUAACGAAUUAAGAGAUACGUAGAAACUGAAUUUAAAAAUGUCUAUGCAUCUCUUUUUUAUUAGUCAUUUUAUGUCAAUGUGUCUUAUAAAAAAAAUUAACCAAAUAAAAAAUUAAAACUUUUAAAAAAUUUUAACAUAUUUUUUUUUUCAAACGUAUUUUUCAAACACACCCUGAAUUAUAGCACCACUAUAUAUAAGCAUAUUUUUCUGUGGGAAUACGACUGUGACUUAUUAUAAUUGCAUCAAACCACAUACAAACAAUGAGUCAAUGAGUCAUGACAUUGGUUAAUUGACUUAAUUCCCUUGCUAUUUGCUAAUGGAGGGUAUUAUGGAGGCAAUUAGUAACUAAUAAAUGAAUGCAAACAGCACAAAGAGGGAUACUUUUAGUGGUGACUUAUUGUUGUUUGAGAGUGGAGGCUUUCUUUGUGACUUAUUUAAAAAAAUUGAUAGAAAAUAAUGGUAAGUUCUUAGUUUUGUUUGUAAUCAAAAUUAUGUAUGUUAUAUUUUGUAAAAAAUAAAAAGUUAUUUUAGUAGCAAUUUUGAAUAUUAAUAAAAAAUUGAGUAAAUUAAAUUUUCUUUUGACAUAACUCUUUUAUAAAGCUCUUUGUAUUUCUUAUAAAAUAUUUUCUGUCAAGUUCGUUCUUUCAUAUUUUUCAUGCUUUCACAAGUGAAUGAAUAAUGAUGGUUAUUUUCUUGAAGCAUAAUGGAAAAAUGAACACAACCUUUAUGUUCCAAGACCAAGAGUCAACUCUAAGUCUUUGAGGAAGUUUCUAUGAGUUUGUAAUUAUUGGUGGAGUAAUAAAUACGUGUUGGAAAAAGAUAAUUAUUUUUCUUCCAAUUAAAAUUAUUAAUUAAUUUUUUUCAUGAUUUUUUAUUUUUUUUGGUUAAAUUAUGAUUACGAUAGCUCUGUAAUCUAGAACGAUGAAUAAUUUCGGAUUAUGAUAUCAGGUUUUUUGUUUCAAGAACUUGCUUAAAGUGUUUCAUCAAAAUAAAGAGGUCCCUGUCCAUGAUACAGAAUUUUUAGUUUUUCAAACUUUUUUCUAAUGUCCCAUCCUUUUUUUUUCAUUUCAUAAUUGACUGGCUUUUGUUCAUCCUUUAUUUUUACUUAUCAAGGUUUGAGAUUUAAGUAAACUGAAAACACAAUUUCUAGAAAAAUGAUAUUUUCUAUUUAUAUUUUUUUAUGUAAUUAUAUGAUUGUAGCUUUCAAAUGCAAAUUUGACAUCUUCUUUAGCCUCCAAUUUUUACUGGUGAGAUUUAAUUAUAGUGAAUGCAUGAUUGUUGAGUUGCUAUAAAUAUGAACAAAGUGAGUGACUUUUAUUGAUAAUUAAAAGUAAUACACCUUAGCAUACAUGUAUCUAUUUCUUUUAUCGUGGUGGUUGUUCACUGUGAUUGGAUUGGACAAUUGGGGUUGGAAGUAUAGUUAUUGAAGUUUUGGGGAUAAUUUAAGAAUGAUGAGACGAGUAUGGAUCUGAAUUUUUUAUUUUAGUUUGGCAAUUUUACUGUUCAAACAUCUAAAGGUUAGUUUCAUUGGUAUAGCAUUAAAAAAAAGAUGAAGACAAUUUGAAAUCAAAUUCUUUGAAUUAAUGGCUUGAGAUCAUGCAUAGAAUAUGCAUCACUGGAUAUAAUUCUAUUUGCAAGUCUCUUGACAUUUUCAAUGAUUAGUUCUCAAUUUUGCAGAAUCAUCAUGCAUUCAAGAAACUGGUAAAAAUCUACAACUGAGGAUUUGUAUCAUCUCAACCCGUCAAUAUAAUAAUACAUUCAGCCAGUAGCACUCUGCAGCUUUUCAGGAGGUGGCAAAGAAGUAUGUAGAGGAUAGAGUUGCUGUCUAUCAAUUUUAUGUUCAAGAUCACAUUAUUAUAGCUUAGGAGAUAGGUGUAUAGCCUUAAAGAGUUGCUUACUGGUUAUUGAAUCUCAUUUUCUUAGGUUCUCAUCUCGUUGGUGAUUCCUUUGUAUUUUAGUAUAUAAGAUUUUGGGUUUGGCUUUGUAUAGAAGUUAUAGGGAUUACUCAAAUGUCUUCCAUGUCUGCUUCUAUUCUAGCUUUCUAUUGGCUUUCCUUGGAGAGACUAGAAAGUUAGAAUUUUUUAUAUGCUUUUGCAGGGUCUUCCAUAUAAUUUAAUUUCAUGACUGGUUUUAAUUUUCAAUAGAAGCAUAUUGUUGAUUUCACUUUAAUAGUAAUAUUAGUUUGCUAUCAGUUGGG
RNAcentral lists this long non-coding RNA (5125 nucleotides) under Arachis ipaensis. RNAcentral's name for it is "long non-coding RNA (AIPA_LNC002181)". The record is from RNAcentral. Lineage: Eukaryota; Viridiplantae; Streptophyta; Magnoliopsida; Fabales; Fabaceae.